RNAcentral lists this long non-coding RNA (447 nucleotides) under Homo sapiens (human). RNAcentral describes it as "non-protein coding lnc-C15orf41-3:1". Lineage: Eukaryota; Metazoa; Chordata; Mammalia; Primates; Hominidae. The record is from RNAcentral.
UUGAUGGAGUUUUGUUUUGUUGCCCAGGCUGGAGUGCAGUGGCACUCAGCUCACUGCAACCUCCGCCCCCAGGGUUCAAGCAAUUCUCCGGCCUCAGCCUCCCGAUUAGCUGGGAUUAUAGGCACCCAGCUAAUUUUUGUAUUUUUAGUAGAGAUGGAGUUUCACUAUGUUGGCCACGAGUUUGAGACCAGCCUGGGCAACACAGCGAGAUGCCGUCUCUACAAUCAAUCAAUCAAUAAAAAAUAAUAAAAACCAUAACAUGCUGUCUUGCAGACAGCCUAGACUUUCACACUCUAAGGAAGAUAGCAACUCUAUAUUCUGUUCAUAUCCUGGAAGACAAAUGGUGAAAGAGAGCAUUCUCUCUCAAAAGUAGCCCCAUUGGAGACAUUCUGAACUACUCCAUAGCCCAUUUCUUCUCCACCUUCCACCCCAUCCCUGAAAGUUCAC